AUAAUUUUCUAGGCCUCUUGGCUAAGAUUUAGUGUAGUUAUCUGUUAUUAUCAGAUCGAUAUAUGAUAUGAGGGUUACCGACCCUCACGAUAUGAAUGUCGUUUCUUUCACGGGUGUGAGACCGAAGGGCCAACUUGCUGACUCGGCCUUGCGAGCGUCUCUACGGUAUUGCAUUAUCUCCCUGGCAGGCACAGCCCUC
RNAcentral lists this small nuclear RNA (199 nucleotides) under Marchantia polymorpha subsp. ruderalis. RNAcentral describes it as "U2 spliceosomal RNA". It matches the Rfam family "U2 spliceosomal RNA". Rfam says of the family: U2 is a small nuclear RNA (snRNA) component of the spliceosome (involved in pre-mRNA splicing). The record is from Rfam by way of RNAcentral. Lineage: Eukaryota; Viridiplantae; Streptophyta; Marchantiopsida; Marchantiales; Marchantiaceae.